RNAcentral lists this ribosomal RNA (397 nucleotides) under uncultured bacterium. RNAcentral describes it as "partial 16S ribosomal RNA". It matches the Rfam family "Bacterial small subunit ribosomal RNA", at positions 523 to 918 of the family's 1533-position model. The record is from RNAcentral.
AUACGUAGGUGGCAAGCGUUGUCCGGAAUUAUUGGGUGUAAAGCGCGCGCAGGCGGUCCUUUAAGUCUGAUGUGAAAGCCCACGGCUCAACCGUGGAGGGUCAUUGGAAACUGGGGGACUUGAGUGCAGAAGAGGAAAGUGGAAUUCCAAGUGUAGCGGUGAAAUGCGUAGAGAUUUGGAGGAACACCAGUGGCGAAGGCGACUUUCUGGUCUGUAACUGACGCUGAGGCGCGAAAGCGUGGGGAGCAAACAGGAUUAGAUACCCUGGUAGUCCACGCCGUAAACGAUGAGUGCUAAGUGUUAGGGGGUUUCCGCCCCUUAGUGCUGCAGCUAACGCAUUAAGCACUCCGCCUGGGGAGUACGGUCGCAAGACUGAAACUCAAAGGAAUUGACGGGG